UACAUGGGGUGCAAACGUUGCUCGGAAUUAUUGGGCGUAAAGCGCACGUAGGCGGCUUUGCACGUCGGAUGUGAAAUCCCUCGGCUUAACCAAGGAAGUGCAUCCGAAACUGCAGAGCUUGAGUACUUAAGAGGAUCGCGGAAUUCCCGGUGUAGAGGUGAAAUUCGUAGAUAUCGGGAGGAACACCAGUGGCGAAGGCGGCGAUCUGGGAAGAUACUGACGCUGAGGUGCGAAAGCGUGGGGAGCAAACAGG
This 253-nucleotide ribosomal RNA is filed under the name uncultured bacterium. RNAcentral's name for it is "partial 16S ribosomal RNA". It matches the Rfam family "Bacterial small subunit ribosomal RNA", at positions 524 to 776 of the family's 1533-position model. The record is from RNAcentral.